GGGCGCUUAGCUCAGUUGGUUAGAGCGGUUGACUUACAUUCAACAGGUCAGGGGUUCAAGUCCUCUAGCGCCCACCA
RNAcentral lists this transfer RNA (77 nucleotides) under Candidatus Omnitrophota bacterium. Its description in RNAcentral is "tRNA-Val". It matches the Rfam family "tRNA". Rfam says of the family: Transfer RNA (tRNA) molecules are approximately 80 nucleotides in length. The record is from RNAcentral. Lineage: Bacteria; Pseudomonadati; Candidatus Omnitrophota.